Molecule: ribosomal RNA, 654 nt
Filed under: Triticum aestivum (bread wheat)
Lineage: Eukaryota; Viridiplantae; Streptophyta; Magnoliopsida; Poales; Poaceae
Description: partial small subunit ribosomal RNA
Source: RNAcentral
AUGUGUGUGCCAAAAGAGAGAGGAGGAAUGGGCUUCUGAUAUGUCCAUAGCUUCAACUUGGCAAUGCUAGCAAAACAGUGUGGGGGGCUUAUUGAGAAUUAUGGAUCCUUGUGUGAUCGCGUCCUUACAACAAGAUACUACCCUACGGGAGACAUUCUCAACUGUGAACUUAAAAAAGGAUCCUCUUACAUAUGGCCAAGUAUUUGGGCGGGUGUCUAGACUUUCAGAAAGGGGUGCAUCCGGAGAGUGGGAGACGGUGCAAAGAUAAAUAUAAUGAAUGACUACUGGAUACUGUACGAUGCUUCAAGGAAAAUCAUCACUGUCCGAGGAAACCAAGUGCUAACCCGGGUAUGUGACUUAAUAGACCCAAUUUCUGGAGAGUGGGAUGAGCAGUUGAUCCGUGGAAACUUCUACCACAUUGAUGCCGAGCGCAUCUUGCAGAUCCCUUUAUUUCAUGCGGAGACAGAAGAUUUUGUAGCGUGGCAAUUAACAAAGAACGGGGUUUUAUUGGUUCGGUCUGCGUAUUAUAAACAAUGGGAGGCAACUUUUGAUGAGAAUGAUCUGGGCCUAAUACAUUACUCCACAGUGCAACACCCAAUUUGGCGCAAGUUAUGGAGUCUAAAUAUGCUAGCAGAGAUAAAGAUUUUUCUAUGA